AUGCCAGAAGGGCUGUUGGUGAGGACAUUUCACCAUUCGGUCUCUCCUUUUGUGGGCAAGCAGGUGGUAAAGACAGGGAGCAACAGUAAGAAGUAUAGCCCACCAGCCUCCAGUCUCUGUGGCUCCAGGACACCCAGGUCCAUGGAAAGAAAUUAUUCCUUAGAUUUGAUCCAGAUGAAGAAAUGGGGCCCGCUGGCAACAGCUCACCGCCAGAGCCUCCACAAAAAGAAGCGCAGAAGGAAGGGACUGUGGACUCAAAGCAGGCCCGGGAGCAAGUGGGCAGAAGACCCUUGACGCCUCCUCACAGUCCGCAGAGCUCGUCCCCCAGGGAGAGGAUGAUUAGGAAUGUUUGAAGGGAGACACCCCUACAGGAGAUGCUGGGAGGCGGCUGCGUGUCAGCUCUUGUUUGCUUGGCAGCGUUUGGGUGAACGACUUCUCCAGAGCCAAGAAAGCCAACAAGAAGGGGGACCGGAGGGACCCUGCCCCGAGGUUGGUCCUGUACUUUGGUGGUGGUAGCUUCCUGGCACUUUAUAAUUGUCAGAUGCCUUGGAGCUCUUCCCCAGAGGUCACACCCACCUGUGACAUCCUGUCUGAGAAGUUCCAUUGAGGACAAGCCUUGGAAGCUCUAGGCCAGGCUCAGCCUGUCACUUAUACACCAUUGGACCAGAAAUACUUCUCAGGGCUAGGGAACGUCAUUAAGAAUGAAGUCUUGUACAGAGCUGGCAUCCAUCCCCUUUCUCUUGGUUCAGUCCUGAGUGCCUCCAUGUUAGGAGGCCCUGGUGGAUCACGUGGUGGAGUUCAGUACAGCCUGGCUGCAGGGCAAGUUCCAGGGCAAACCGCAGCACAUGCAGGUCUACCAGAAAGAACAGUGCCCAGCUGGCCACCAGGUCAUGAAGAAGCCCUUUGGGCCCUCAGGUGGGUUCCAGAGGCUCACCUGGUGGUGCCCACAGUGCCAGUCUCAGUUGUUAGAGGAGCCGGAGCAGUGCCAGUUCUUCUAA
RNAcentral lists this long non-coding RNA (998 nucleotides) under Homo sapiens (human). RNAcentral describes it as "non-protein coding lnc-IQCM-11:1". Lineage: Eukaryota; Metazoa; Chordata; Mammalia; Primates; Hominidae. The record is from RNAcentral.